AACAUGUCUUUAAGAAAAUAUUUUAAAGUUYAAUYUGCUCCAUGAUUAAUAUAUUAAAUAGCUGCAGAAUUUUAACUGUACAAAGGUAGCAUAAUCAAUAGUUUUUUAAUUGAAAGCUGGAAUGAAUGAUUUUAUAAGGUAAAUAUUGUCUCAAAUUUAAUAAUAUUAAAAUUUUUUUUUUAGUAAAAAUACUAAAUUGAUUUUAAAAGACGAGAAGACCCUAUAGAAUUUUAUAAUUUUUUUAUAUAAUUAAUUUAAUAGUAAUUAUUAUGGAAAUUAUUAGAUUGGGGAAAUUUUUAAAUUAAUUAAAUUUUAAAAUAAAAAUAAACAAUAAUUUUUGAUUAUUUGAUCUUAUUUAUAAAUUUUAAGAAUAAAUUACCUUAGGGAUAACAGCGUAAUUUUUUUAGAUAGAUCUAAUAGAUAAAAAAGUUUGCGACCUCGAUGUUGAAUUAAGAUAAAAUUUUAAUGAAGAAGUUAAAUAUUUUUGGUCUGUUCGACCAUUAAAAUCUUACGU
RNAcentral lists this ribosomal RNA (514 nucleotides) under Lagarosoma assitum. RNAcentral's name for it is "partial 16S large subunit ribosomal RNA". The stretch from base 386 to 514 matches the Rfam family "Archaeal large subunit ribosomal RNA", at positions 2544 to 2672 of the family's 2987-position model. Lineage: Eukaryota; Metazoa; Arthropoda; Insecta; Hymenoptera; Ichneumonidae. The record is from RNAcentral.